AGUUCUGAUUAUUGAAAGGUGCUUGCAUCUUGAUUUAAUUUUGAACGAGUGGCGGACGGGUGAGUAACACGUGGGUAACCUGCCCUUAAGUGGGGGAUAACAUUUGGAAACAGAUGCUAAUACCGCAUAAAUCCAAGAACCGCAUGGUUCUUGGCUGAAAGAUGGCGUAAGCUAUCGCUUUUGGAUGGACCCGCGGCGUAUUAGCUAGUUGGUGAGGUAACGGCUCACCAAGGCAAUGAUACGUAGCCGAACUGAGAGGUUGAUCGGCCACAUUGGGACUGAGACACGGCCCAAACUCCUACGGGAGGCAGCAGUAGGUCUUCCACAAUGGACGCAAGUCUGAUGGAGCAACGCCGCGUGAGUGAAGAAGGCUUUCGGGUCGUAAAACUCUGUUGUUGGAGAAGAAUGGUCGGCAGAGUAACUGUUGUCGGCGUGACGGUAUCCAACCAGAAAGCCACGGCUAACUACGUGCCAGCAGCCGCGGUAAUACGUAGGUGGCAAGCGUUAUCCGGAUUUAUUGGGCGUAAAGCGAGCGCAGGCGGUUUUUUAAGUCUGAUGUGAAAGCCCUCGGCUUAACCGAGGAAGUGCAUCGGAAACUGGGAAACUUGAGUGCAGAAGAGGACAGUGGAACUCCAUGUGUAGCGGUGAAAUGCGUAGAUAUAUGGAAGAACACCAGUGGCGAAGGCGGCUGU
RNAcentral lists this ribosomal RNA (692 nucleotides) under Lacticaseibacillus rhamnosus. RNAcentral's name for it is "bacterial SSU rRNA". It matches the Rfam family "Bacterial small subunit ribosomal RNA", at positions 50 to 728 of the family's 1533-position model. Lineage: Bacteria; Bacillati; Bacillota; Bacilli; Lactobacillales; Lactobacillaceae. The record is from RNAcentral.